ACAAUGAUACUCCUGUUCAGUCACAGUCCGAGCGUGACGCGGAUUCGUUUUUUCGUGAGCCGUCGCAGGCAAUGAGAGCAGCCGGCAGAGAACCUGCCGGGGGUGAGAUUCCCGUGG
Molecule: non-coding RNA, 117 nt
Filed under: unclassified sequences
Description: pemK RNA
Rfam family: pemK RNA
Source: RNAcentral